Molecule: ribosomal RNA, 259 nt
Filed under: uncultured bacterium
Lineage: Bacteria
Description: partial 16S ribosomal RNA
Rfam family: Bacterial small subunit ribosomal RNA
Source: RNAcentral
UGGCGGACGGGUGAGUAACGCGUGGGGUAACCUGCCUCAUACAGGGGGAUAACAGUUAGAAAUGACUGCUAAUACCGCAUAAGACCACAGUGCCGCAUGGCACAGGGGCCAAAGCCUUGACGGUAUGAGAUGGACCCGCGUCUGAUUAGGUAGUUGGUGGGGUAACGGCCUACCAAGCCGACGAUCAGUAGCCGACCUGAGAGGGUGACCGGCCACAUUGGGACUGAGACACGGCCCAAACUCCUACGGAAGGCAGCAG